This 506-nucleotide ribosomal RNA is filed under the name uncultured bacterium. Its description in RNAcentral is "partial 16S ribosomal RNA". It matches the Rfam family "Bacterial small subunit ribosomal RNA", at positions 29 to 523 of the family's 1533-position model. The record is from RNAcentral.
AGUGAACGCUGGCGGUAGGCCUAACACAUGCAAGUCGAACGGCAGCACAGGAGAGCUUGCUCUCUGGGUGGCGAGUGGCGGACGGGUGAGGAAUACAUCGGAAUCUACUCUGUCGUGGGGGAUAACGUAGGGAAACUUACGCUAAUACCGCAUACGACCUACGGGUGAAAGCAGGGGACCUUCGGGCCUUGCGCGAUUGAAUGAGCCGAUGUCGGAUUAGCUAGUUGGCGGGGUAAAGGCCCACCAAGGCGACGAUCCGUAGCUGGUCUGGGAGGAUGAUCACCAACACUGGGACUGAGACACGGCCCAGACUCCUACGGGAGGCAGCAGUGGGGAAUAGUGGACAAGGGGCGCAAGCCUGAUCCAGCCAUACCGGGUGGGUGAAGAAGGCCUUCGGGUUGUAAAGCCCUUUUGUUGGGAAAGAAAUCCAGCUGGCUAAUACGCGGUUGGGAUGACGGUACCCAAAGAAUAAGCACCGGCUAACUUCGUGCCAGCCGCCGCAGUAA